ACAGAUAUGAAAGUGGUGUGAAUCUUCUCAACUAACUCUCAGCAAAAAAGUGAAAGAGAGUAUCUCACAAAAUU
Etheostoma spectabile (orangethroat darter) is the source of this 74-nucleotide long non-coding RNA. RefSeq lists it as uncharacterized. Lineage: Eukaryota; Metazoa; Chordata; Actinopteri; Perciformes; Percidae. The transcript is spliced from 4 exons. The record is from RefSeq and is a predicted model, not a curated record.